This 1293-nucleotide long non-coding RNA is filed under the name Gallus gallus (chicken). The record is from RNAcentral. Lineage: Eukaryota; Metazoa; Chordata; Aves; Galliformes; Phasianidae.
AUCGUUUUUACAAAGCAGUUGAAAAUAAAAAAAAAGAAUAGCAAGAAACCCCCAUCUGCUGUCUAGCAUCAGUAAUCCUCAUUGGUUUGUUUACCAUUUAUAAGGAAAACAUCAUACAGAGCAGCUUGUCACAGAGACUCUCCCGCAGUAACGAGCUUCUGGUGCAAACCCAACACACCUGUCAGUUCAUCCAGGUUUCCUUAAAGUCCCUCCUUCUAAAAUUGAACCUGUCUGCCAAUGAGAAUAUCCUUCCCUCCUAUAUAUACCUUCCAGACAAACUGUAAAUCCCAUUACACGUCUAAGGUUGGUGAAUCCCCUCAUUUUAAGCAGGUAAACAGAGGUCUAGACAUUGAUUUGUUUGAGGCCAGACUACUGCACGGCCAGCCAUAGAACCCAGCUUUCACAACCACAAGCGAUCAUCCUGGCUGAAAACUGCUUCCUCACUAAGGAGAAAAUAAAGUGACUAACUAUACUGACAUUGUUUCUUCCUUCAUCCUCUCUAAGAGGAUCAGAUAUUUUUCCCCGUGUAGCAUCCGCUGCUGUUAAUACUCAGAAAUGGUGUAAAUCUGUGUUAACACCCACGCUCAAACAAAUCCCAAAGGAGUCAGUGUGACAUGCAAACUGUAGGCAGGCAGACAGUGGGUAUGCUGAAGGGACCCCAGGCAGGUUAGCCUCAUCCACCCGCAGAGGGACCCCUGCGGCCCGGUCUCCAGGAACAAGUUCCACCUCCUUCUCCAGACAGGGGGUUAUAGCCACCUCCUCGCAAGGGCUUCUUGUUUGGUUUAGAUUUCGGGACUGCUGAUGAGGUGGAGGCACCAGAUUCUGCUUCUUGCUGACUCAGUUUCAGGUUUCCUUUAUAACUUUUUCCUUCUUGCAUGCUUUCCCACAUUUCUAUCUUCUGCCUUCGCUUCUGUUCUUCAAGCUGUCUUUGUUUUUCUUUGUAUCUUUCUGCUUGUGCAUUCAACUCCUCUUGCAUCCUCAGGCGAGACGCCAACAAAGCUUCUUGUCUUCUUACCACCAUGUCGGGCUCGACAGCUGCGCCAGUUGCUCCUUGCUGGCUGCUGGGCCUCAUCCUCAAGUAUGGGGAUAUCUUCUGGACGAUGAGAUAGAUGGCGACGCAGGCCAGGAGGAUGUACCAGCCAUAGCUCGACAGCAGGGCGCCCACCGUGUGCUGCAGCAGCUCGAGGCCCUCUCGUUCCAGGGCCGGUUUCCCGGGGCCGGGCCCGGCCCCGCCGCGGUCCCCGAGCUCCAUGGCCCCGCUGCCGCCUCACGUCCGGGAGCCGCCCCGUCACC